This 253-nucleotide ribosomal RNA is filed under the name uncultured bacterium. Its description in RNAcentral is "partial 16S ribosomal RNA". It matches the Rfam family "Bacterial small subunit ribosomal RNA", at positions 524 to 776 of the family's 1533-position model. The record is from RNAcentral.
UACGAAGGGGACUAGCGUUGUUCGGAAUUACUGAGCGUAAAGCGCGCGUAGGCGGAUCGCUAAGUCAGGGGUGAAAUCCCAGGGCUCAACCCUGGAACUGCCUUUGAUACUGACGAUCUGGAGAUCGGGAGAGGUUGGUGGAAUUCCGAGUGUAGAGGUGAAAUUCGUAGAUAUUGGGAAGAACACCGGUGGCGAAGGCGGCUCACUGGCUCGUAACUGACGCUCAUGCACGACAGCGUGGGGAUCAAACAGG